Molecule: ribosomal RNA, 301 nt
Filed under: uncultured bacterium
Lineage: Bacteria
Description: partial 16S ribosomal RNA
Rfam family: Bacterial small subunit ribosomal RNA
Source: RNAcentral
CAGCAGCCGCGGUAAUACGUAGGGUGCAAGCGUUAAUCGGAAUUACUGGGCGUAAAGCGUGCGCAGGCGGUUCGUUAAGACAGAUGUGAAAUCCCCGGGCUUAACCUGGGAACUGCAUUUGAUACUGGGGAUCUUGAGUCCGGAAGAGGUGAGUGGAACUGCGAGUGUAGAGGUGAAAUUCGUAGAUAUUCGGAAGAACACCAGUGGCGAAGGCGACUGACUGGACAAGUAUUGACGCUGAGGUGCGAAAGCGUGGGGAGCAAACAGGAUUAGAUACCCCGGUAGUCCCUGUCUCUUAUAC